RNAcentral lists this unclassified non-coding RNA (200 nucleotides) under soil metagenome. Its description in RNAcentral is "partial contains internal transcribed spacer 2 and large subunit ribosomal RNA". The record is from RNAcentral.
CUGUUCGAGCGUCAUUAUAACCACUCAAGCCCUCGGCUUGGUCUUGGGGUUCGCGGUUUCGCGGCCCUUAAAAUCAGUGGCGGUGCGUCUGGCUCUAAGCGUAGUAAUCCUCUCGCUAUAGGGUCCAGGUAACCACCUGCCAGAACCCCCCAUUCUUUAUGGUUGACCUCGGAUCAGGUAGGGAUACCCGCUGAACUUAA